UCGAUGAGUAGGGCGGGACACGUGGUAUCCUGUCUGAAUAUGGGGGGACCAUCCUCCAAGGCUAAAUACUCCUGACUGACCGAUAGUGAACCAGUACCGUGAGGGAAAGGCGAAAAGAACCCCGGCGAGGGGAGUGAAAAAGAACCUGAAACCGUGUACGUACAAGCAGUGGGAGCCCCACCACUAAGCCAGUGGUGAACUCCACAUCCGCAUCCUUUGCUGAGGAUACGGUUAACGGAGCGAAAGCGACGUUCAACCGCAAAACAAGCAGAGGGGGCUUAGUGGUGGGGUGACUGCGUACCUUUUGUAUAAUGGGUCAGCGACUUAUAUUCUGUAGCAAGGUUAACCGAAUAGGGGAGCCGGAGGGAAACCGAGUCUUAAUUGGGCGUUAAGUUGCAGGGUAUAGACCCGAAACCCGGUGAUCUAGCCAUGGGCAGGUUGAAGGUUGGGUAACACUAA
RNAcentral lists this ribosomal RNA (459 nucleotides) under Salmonella enterica subsp. enterica serovar Give var. 15 str. CFSAN004343. Its description in RNAcentral is "bacterial LSU rRNA". It matches the Rfam family "Bacterial large subunit ribosomal RNA", at positions 405 to 765 of the family's 2925-position model. The record is from RNAcentral. Lineage: Bacteria; Pseudomonadati; Pseudomonadota; Gammaproteobacteria; Enterobacterales; Enterobacteriaceae.